CCUGAUAGCUCAGUUGGUAAAGAAUCUGUCUGCAAUUCAGGAGACCCAGGUUCAAUUCCUGGGUCAGGA
This 69-nucleotide transfer RNA is filed under the name Bos taurus (domestic cattle). It matches the Rfam family "tRNA". From Rfam's summary of the family: Transfer RNA (tRNA) molecules are approximately 80 nucleotides in length. Their secondary structure includes four short double-helical elements and three loops (D, anti-codon, and T loops). RNAcentral also lists the same sequence under 3 other names. Lineage: Eukaryota; Metazoa; Chordata; Mammalia; Artiodactyla; Bovidae. The record is from Rfam by way of RNAcentral.